RNAcentral lists this ribosomal RNA (533 nucleotides) under uncultured bacterium. RNAcentral describes it as "bacterial SSU rRNA". It matches the Rfam family "Bacterial small subunit ribosomal RNA", at positions 777 to 1308 of the family's 1533-position model. The record is from RNAcentral.
AAUAGAUACCCGGGUAGUCCACGCCGUAAACGGUGAGUGCUAAGUGUUAGAGGGUUUCCGCCCUUUAGUGCUGCAGCUAACGCAUUAAGCACUCCGCCUGGGGAGUACGGCCGCAAGGCUGAAACUCAAAGGAAUUGACGGGGGCCCGCACAAGCGGUGGAGCAUGUGGUUUAAUUCGAAGCAACGCGAAGAACCUUACCAGGUCUUGACAUCCUCUGACAACCCUAGAGAUAGGGCUUUCCCCUUCGGGGGACAGAGUGACAGGUGGUGCAUGGUUGUCGUCAGCUCGUGUCGUGAGAUGUUGGGUUAAGUCCCGCAACGAGCGCAACCCUUGAUCUUAGUUGCCAGCAUUCAGUUGGGCACUCUAAGGUGACUGCCGGUGACAAACCGGAGGAAGGUGGGGAUGACGUCAAAUCAUCAUGCCCCUUAUGACCUGGGCUACACACGUGCUACAAUGGAUGGUACAAAGGGCUGCAAACCUGCGAAGGUAAGCGAAUCCCAUAAAGCCAUUCUCAGUUCGGAUUGCAGGCUGA